Molecule: ribosomal RNA, 255 nt
Filed under: uncultured bacterium
Lineage: Bacteria
Description: partial 16S ribosomal RNA
Rfam family: Bacterial small subunit ribosomal RNA
Source: RNAcentral
UACGUAGGGUGCAAGCGUUAAUCGGAAUUACUGGGCGUAAAGCGUGCGCAGGCGGUUAUGUAAGACAGAUGUGAAAUCCCCGGGCUCAACCUGGGAACUGCAUUUGUGACUGCAUAGCUAGAGUACGGGUAGAGGGGGAUGGAAUUCCGCGUGUAGCAGUGAAAUGCGUAGAUAUGCGGAGGAACACCGAUGGCGAAGGCAAUCCCCUGGACCUGUACUGACGCUCAUGCACGAAAGCGUGGGGAGCAAACGAGG